AGUCGACGAACACUUGAAUGGAAUUCUUCGGAAGGAAGCUCAAGUGACUGAGUGGCGGACGGGUGAGUAACGCGUGGGUAACCUGCCUCAUACAGGGGGAUAACAGUUAGAAAUGACUGCUAAUACCGCAUAAGCACACGUGAUCGCAUGAUCGAGUGUGAAAAACUCCGGUGGUAUGAGAUGGACCCGCGUCUGAUUAGCUAGUUGGUGGGGUAACGGCCCACCAAGGCGACGAUCAGUAGCCGGCCUGAGAGGGUGAACGGCCACAUUGGGACUGAGACACGGCCCAAACUCCUACGGGAGGCAGCAGUGGGGAAUAUUGCACAAUGGGGGAAACCCUGAUGCAGCGACGCCGCGUGAAGGAUGAAGUAUUUCGGUAUGUAAACUUCUAUCAGCAGGGAAGAAAAUGACGGUACCUGACUAAGAAGCCCCGGCUAACUACGUGCCAGCAGCCGCGGUAAUACGUAGGGGGCAAGCGUUAUCCGGAUUUACUGGGUGUAAAGGGAGCGUAGACGGCAGUGCAAGUCUGAAGUGAAAGCCCGGGGCUCAACCCCGGGACUGCUUUGGAAACUGUGCAGCUAGAGUGUCGGAGAGGCAAGCGGAAUUCCUAGUGUAGCGGUGAAAUGCGUAGAUAUUAGGAGGAACACCAGUGGCGAAGGCGGCUUACUGGACGGUAACUGACGUUGAGGCUCGAAAGCGUGGGGAGCAAACAGGAUUAGAUACCCUGGUAGUCCACGCCGUANACGAUGACUACUAGGUNUCGGGC
Molecule: ribosomal RNA, 766 nt
Filed under: uncultured bacterium
Lineage: Bacteria
Description: bacterial SSU rRNA
Rfam family: Bacterial small subunit ribosomal RNA
Source: RNAcentral